UAGAGGAAUAGGAAUUGAACCUAUAAUUAAGAGAUCAAAACUCUCCGUAAUUCCUUUUUACUACCCCCUA
This 70-nucleotide transfer RNA is filed under the name Dendropsophus sp. D MAC-2017. Its description in RNAcentral is "partial tRNA-Gln". The record is from RNAcentral. Lineage: Eukaryota; Metazoa; Chordata; Amphibia; Anura; Hylidae.